AGGGAAUCUUCCGCAAUGGACGAAAGUCUGACGGAGCAACGCCGCGUGAGUGAUGAAGGUUUUCGGAUCGUAAAACUCUGUUGUUAGGGAAGAACAAGUACAAGAGUAACUGCUUGUACCUUGACGGUACCUAACCAGAAAGCCACGGCUAACUACGUGCCAGCAGCCGCGGUAAUACGUAGGUGGCAAGCGUUGUCCGGAAUUAUUGGGCGUAAAGCGCGCGCAGGCGGUCCUUUAAGUCUGAUGUGAAAGCCCACGGCUCAACCGUGGAGGGUCAUUGGAAACUGGGGGACUUGAGUGCAGAAGAGAAGAGUGGAAUUCCACGUGUAGCGGUGAAAUGCGUAGAGAUGUGGAGGAACACCAGUGGCGAAGGCGACUCUUUGGUCUGUAACUGACGCUGAGGCGCGAAAGCGUGGGGAGCAAAC
RNAcentral lists this ribosomal RNA (425 nucleotides) under uncultured bacterium. RNAcentral describes it as "bacterial SSU rRNA". It matches the Rfam family "Bacterial small subunit ribosomal RNA", at positions 356 to 773 of the family's 1533-position model. The record is from RNAcentral.